UACGAAGGGGGCUAGCGUUGCUCGGAAUGACUGGGCGUAAAGGGCGCGUAGGCGGCCUGAAAGGUCAGCUGUGAAAACUCGAGGCUCAACCUCGAGACGUCGGUUGAAACCAUCUGGCUAGAGUCCGGAAGAGGAGAGUGGAAUUCCCGGUGUAGCGGUGAAAUGCGCAGAUAUCGGGGAAGAACACCCGUGGCGAAGGCGGCUCUCUGGGACGGUACUGACGCUGAGACGCGAAAGCGUGGGGAGCGAACAGG
RNAcentral lists this ribosomal RNA (254 nucleotides) under uncultured bacterium. RNAcentral describes it as "partial 16S ribosomal RNA". It matches the Rfam family "Bacterial small subunit ribosomal RNA", at positions 524 to 776 of the family's 1533-position model. The record is from RNAcentral.